RNAcentral lists this small nucleolar RNA (136 nucleotides) under Dasypus novemcinctus (nine-banded armadillo). RNAcentral describes it as "Small nucleolar RNA SNORA31 (ENSDNOG00000041801.1)". The record is from RNAcentral. Lineage: Eukaryota; Metazoa; Chordata; Mammalia; Cingulata; Dasypodidae.
AUAUACCUCUGACAGACCUGGAGCAGUUAAUGUCUGUUGCUAAGAUUUCCACUACAGAUGCAAGAAAAAGAAGGUUCUUCUUGUGCUUUCUGUCUGUCUGGUUGUGGCAGCCAAGAUUGAGUGGGAGAAUACAGAA